UACGUAGGGUGCAAGCGUUGUCCGGAAUUAUUGGGCGUAAAGAGCUCGUAGGCGGUCUGUCGCGUCGGCUGUGAAAACCCGGAGCUCAACUCCGGGCCUGCAGUCGAUACGGGCAAACUGGAGUACUGCAGGGGAGACUGGAGUUCCUGGUGUAGCGGUGAAAUGCGCAGAUAUCAGGAGGAACACCGGUGGCGAAGGCGGGUCUCUGGGCAGUAACUGACGCUGGAGGAAGCGGAAAGCGUGGGGAGCGAACAGG
This 256-nucleotide ribosomal RNA is filed under the name uncultured bacterium. Its description in RNAcentral is "partial 16S ribosomal RNA". It matches the Rfam family "Bacterial small subunit ribosomal RNA", at positions 524 to 776 of the family's 1533-position model. The record is from RNAcentral.